GCCAACGGCCAUACCAUGUUGAGUACACCGGUUCUCGUCCGAUCACCGAAGUUAAGCAACAUCGGGCGUGGUUAGUACUUGGAUGGGUGACCACCUGGGAAACACCACGUGCUGUUGGCU
This 120-nucleotide ribosomal RNA is filed under the name Schistocerca americana (American grasshopper). The record is from RNAcentral. Lineage: Eukaryota; Metazoa; Arthropoda; Insecta; Orthoptera; Acrididae.